RNAcentral lists this ribosomal RNA (460 nucleotides) under uncultured bacterium. Its description in RNAcentral is "partial 16S ribosomal RNA". It matches the Rfam family "Bacterial small subunit ribosomal RNA", at positions 338 to 795 of the family's 1533-position model. The record is from RNAcentral.
CCUACGGGUGGCUGCAGUGAGGAAUAUUGGUCAAUGGGCGUAAGCCUGAACCAGCCAAGUCGCGUGAGGGAUGAAGGUUCUAUGGAUCGUAAACCUCUUUUAUCAGGGAAUAAAGUGUGGGACGUGUCCUAUUUUGUAUGUACCUUAUGAAUAAGGAUCGGCUAACUCCGUGCCAGCAGCCGCGGUAAUACGGAGGAUCCGAGCUUUAUCCGGAUGUAUAGGGUUUAAAGGGUGCGGAGGCGGCUUUUUAAGUCAGCGGUGAAAGUCUGUAGCUCAACCAUAGAAUGGCCGUUGAAACUGGGGGUCCUGUGUAUGUUUGAGGCAGUCGGAAUGCGUGGUGUAGCGGUGAAAGGCUUAGAUAGCACGCAGAACCCCGAUUGCGAAGGCAGCCUGCCAAGCCAUGACUGACGCUGAUGCACGAAAGCGUGGGGAUCAAACAGGAUUAGAUACCCGUGUAGUC